AUUCCGGUUGAUCCCGCCUAUUAUUAUAUGCUUGCCUCAAAGAUUAAUCCAUGCAUGUCUAAUACACACCAAAUAACCAUGAAACCGCCAAACGCUCAUUAUAACAUUUAUGGUUCACUAAAUCGUUAACAGUUACCUAGGAAAACU
Molecule: non-coding RNA, 147 nt
Filed under: Drosophila virilis
Lineage: Eukaryota; Metazoa; Arthropoda; Insecta; Diptera; Drosophilidae
Description: Eukaryotic small subunit ribosomal RNA
Rfam family: Eukaryotic small subunit ribosomal RNA
Source: Rfam by way of RNAcentral